UUUAAAAUCUACAGUCAAGGGAAGAUUUGGGGGAGGGACAAUACUAAUUUGGUUCACAGAAUUUUAUUGUUUUCUCUAUCCCAAUAGCUUUUUGUAUCAGAUCUGUGGAACAGGAGGCAGAGUCCUGGAGCUCAGCGUUUCCUUUGAACACAGCUGGACUCUCAGUAGAUGGCAACAAACACAGAGACCUACAACUGGUCAAGCCGCAGAGAAUGAGAGACUGAAGAACGCUUACCCGCAAAUCUUACCUUCGUCCCUUGGCUGUUAUGACAAAAGAAUUUGAAGACCUGCAUACAGGAUCAGCCAGCGUCCUGAAGGCACAAUGUUCUUCGCAUGUACCUUUAUUGGUCUCCUCCCUUACGACUGUGACUUCUCAAGGACUUCCAUAGGAUUACCCAUGCAAGAAGUGAAGAGCCGAGCCUCCUGUUUGCAAACCCUCCCAUGCAAGAUUCAUGCUGAAGUCAACAAUGUCCUUCGAAUCUAAUUUAAACAUGAAGAGGGGAGUCAUGGAGCUGGGAACUACAGUGGAAAGGCUGUCCUGAAAGAAGUGAAGUGUUUCACCUAGAAUAUACUGGCUCACCACCAGAAAACCACAAGACGGGUAGAACCUUUCAAAGUCGGGGCCCUGUGAUCAAAGGAGGCACAGAAAAAUGGUUCUUCUAUAAACCUUUCUGCUGAUGGCUGAAACCUGGAGAUUCUGUGGCUCUCUGACUCCGUUCUCUGAGCAGAUGCUGUGACAUUUUCUUGCCCUACUUGAGAGAGCCCAACUGGUUAGUACAGUGGGUUGCUGGUGUUGGUUUGUUUGUUUGUUUGUUCUAUCUUCCUUGUGUCCAUAGAACUUGUCCUCUGCUUGUUCAUCCUGACAUUUUAGAACUCAUAGACUUCUGGAUAUAUUUCGCUUUGUCCAGUGGCUGAUGCUGGUUUUCAGUGUUUAGAGGCCAACAGAAAAUUCUCAUAAUUCUUGCUGCUGAGUAGAGCAGCCGCCAUGCAUGGCUAUCAGUAGUCUACAUUUCAGUAUCCAAAGCGUCAUGAAUAUCUUGCAUUCUAAUUAUCCUUUCCUAGGUAGUCUCCUUUUCAUAACAGACUAAAGCAGAAUUUAUAUUCGCCUCUCUGUCACAAAUAAAGACCAUGUCUGGCUACAAGGGCAAAAUAGUUUGCUCUUGUGAACACUCUUUCUUUGGCCCGAGUAGCUGCCAGUCGCCAUGCAAUAAAUCACAUUAUCACAUGACAAGUCUAGAGCUUCAUCGAGAACAGCAGGGCACCCCACCAAGUCCUGAGAGCUAAGCAUUGGAGAAUUUGGACUGACCAUGGAUAACUUCAAAUUGAUUGCCUAGAACUGGAUGUUUUUUGCCCCUGGAAAGACAACAGAAAGAAUUCUAAACUGUUUAUUCUGUCAUGGGGACAGGAAUAUAAAACAGGUUAUGUUUUUUCAUUUGUCUUUAUUCCUUGUAUUCUCUCUCUCUCUCUCCCUCUCUUUCUCUCUUUCUCUCCUUUUUUCCCCUUAAAAACUCUGGCUUGAUGGCCCAUCAGUAUUGCCCAUGUGGCAUGAAACCCAUAAUCUUAUCCACUUCCUACUAAACCCAGGCCAGCAUAAAUAUUAUGGUUUGGAUCAAAAAUAUCCCACAAAGAUCUUGUGCCAAAAUGUUAUUUGCUAGAUAAUGAGCUUUAGGGAAAUUAGUAGAUCAGGAGGGGUCUGAUUUCAUCAAUAGAUUACUUCUUUUGUAGGGUAACAGUUUGCUGGGCUAAUAGAAACCAUGAGUGGUGGGUGGUAUCCAGUUGAGGGGACUGGAGCUUUCCAUGUGUGCCCUUGGGGGAUUAUAUCCUGUUAGCAGACCCUCUCUUUUGCCUCCUCUUGUUCUCUUUCUCCCUCCCUUUUGCCUGUCAAGGAUGCUCCCCUCUAUGACAUUCUGUCUCCCAGAACAAAUGGAGACAAAGUAACCAUUGCUUGAACCUUUGAGCCAGAAUAAUAUUUUAGUGACAUAAAACUGAAUGUGGUGGUUGGAGUGAGAAGUGCCCGCCACUGGCUCAGGUGUUUGCACACUUCAACCCCAGUUGGUGAUGCUGUCUGGGGUGGUUAUGGAAUUUUUAGAUGAAACCUUGCUGUAGGAGGCAAAUCCUUUGAGGGGUGGGCUUUGAAAGUUUAUGUCCGGGCUCCCCCUUCUCCUUUGCUCUGUUUCCUUUGUGUCAAUGAGAAGUGAGCUCUAAGCUCCCUGAUCUGACAUUCCUGCGGCCAUGCUAUCCACCCCAGCACAGGAUCUCCCUCCGGAACCAUCCUCUCAAAUAUACGCUUCCUUUUAUCAGUUACCUCUAACUGUGGUGUUUAUCGGAGUGACAGAAAAGUAACAAUACAUGUACUAAAACAAUGAAGCCAGUGGCUUUUUUUUGAGAUAAUUUGUCUUGACUCAAGUUUUAGUCGUUUGGGGAAUCAUGAAAGGAUUCAACCGGGAGGCCUUGCAUGUGUGUAUCCUUUGAAAAGGCCAGGAUUUGUGAGGCACUGCACCACAUAACAACUGAGUGGUGAGGACAAAGCCUGUUUCAGCUUUAUUCUCCUCUGGGACUUUUACACGAAGUAGAGACCUCGCAAACAUUUUAUGCUACGGGGCAUUUAGUGAUUUGCCAUUUUUAAGGAGUGCUAUCUUUAUACUGUGCUGACAUCAACAUUUGAAAAUAAAGCCUUCCCCCCUCCCUCCCUCUCUCUCCUCCACGUUUGGCUUAGCUUUUCCUACCAAAACACACUUCAAAAGAAUCCACUGAAAGAACAUUUAAAAAAAAUACAACAUUUCCAUCUGUUAUUUUAAUAAUACAUGCUUUGGGACUCUCUUUAUGAACCAUUUUCUUUUCUUUGCUCCCAUUUAGAUGAGUAAAUAUUUGACUCGAAAGCCCUGAGGGGUAGUCGGCCAAUCGGUUCACUGAAUUGUGAACAUUCUUAGCCCUAUAAUUUGGUCUGCAGUAAGCACCUCCCGCUGUGGAAUUGACUGCAGAGGGAUUAGAGCAAUAUAAUCCUCAAACUGUUCCAACGCAAGGUUACUCUGAAGUGGAGAGGAGGAAGUAGUUUUAAUUUUGAUAAAAUAAACUGGGUUUUUGUAGCUUUAUUAUUUCUUUCUCUUUCUCCUUUCAGCAGUUCAGAAAAGGUGUCUGCUAAUUUGAAAUCAUUCUCCUUGGUGUAAUUAUCAUUAAACCGUUUUUAUUUUCUUAUGGCUGUUGUUUUUAGAGGUGGUGAGACAUAAUUUUUUUUCCUGUCAUUCCAAAAUGAAAAGCCUGAGUUUUAUUCUACCUUUAUAGGCUAGAACCAAGUCAUAUAUGGACUAUUAUGAAAAAAAAUAUUCAAAGGAUUCUUUGCUCACGGUGGGAUAGAAAAUGGACAGCCCCUGACAUGCCACUUACAUGCAUUUGAAAUGCCAAGUCAUUUGCAAAAUUCUGUACUUCUGUGUUACUCUUCCCCCCAUCAGGCUUCCCUACCACAACUCUGUGUCAGUGAUCAUUGAAGCAACCACGUUUAAGAUUAUACUAUGAAUUUCACAGGAA
Long non-coding RNA from Rattus norvegicus (Norway rat), 3525 nucleotides. RefSeq lists it as uncharacterized. The record is from RefSeq and is a predicted model, not a curated record. NCBI's taxonomy places the organism in Eukaryota, Metazoa, Chordata, Mammalia, Rodentia, Muridae.